This is a long non-coding RNA of Astatotilapia calliptera (eastern happy), 1941 nucleotides long. NCBI's taxonomy places the organism in Eukaryota, Metazoa, Chordata, Actinopteri, Cichliformes, Cichlidae. The record is from Ensembl.
GAUAUUUGAGUUAAAGAGCGAGACUGUUACGCUCUGUGUGUGUGUGUGUGUGUGUGUGUGUGUGUGUGUGUGUGUGUGUGCGUGCGUGCGUGCGUGCGUGCGUGCGUGCGUGCGUGUGUGUGUGCAUGUGUGUGUGUGCUUGCUCUCCAUCCCUGCCCUUUGACCUGCAGAGAGGGGAGCUCUGUUGCCUUAGGAGAGUCCAGAUGAACCUCCUCUCCUCCCUCUUCCUGUCAGUCAUCUCUCCUCAGACGCAGCUUCAUGUGUAAAAGUUUUCAGCGUUGCAGUUUCUGCAAACGUCCAUUAAACCCUGUAAACGGCCAGCAGACAGCACAGUUCACUGCUUCAGAUGUUUCAGGGCUGCCUUUGAAUAUGAUUGGAAAAAUUCCUAUGCAUACACACACACACACACACACACACAUACUGAUGAACACAUGAAGUGGAGGCCCACAUGGCGGGUCCUCUGUAGCAAAACGGACCCUCUGACGGAGCGAGGGAGGAGGCGGAGGAGAAAGAGGAUCAGAUGUAAUCGCUCCCUGAAUGUAAAUAGAACCUUGAGAUUGUCAGUUUUUUUAUUUCCAUUGCUUCUUCUCUAAAAUCAUUGAAUUGCAGUUUGUCUUUUUAUCUUUUGCUCUGUUUGAUUUUGUACUUGUAUUUUGUAUCAACACCCUCCCCUCCAUCGUCUAAUCUUAGGUUUUCCUUUCCUGACGCUUAUUCUUACAGUCUGUCGAGCAGAGAGACAAACCCGACGAAGCGAUUCACGCAAACCAAGCAGAAAAGACCAAAACCAACAACCACUUACUGUAGACAUAAAACUUUAAACGACCUUCCAAGAUGAUAGUUUCCCAUAAAAACAAAGUUCAUUAUUAUCCAGCAAAUAAAUUCUCAUUAUAGUUGAAUUCGUAUUUUGCGCUGUAGUGAGUGUUUGUGACUGCAGGAGGGUGAAUGGGUUUUCCCUCCAUCUGUGGCUCUGAGGUAUAAACUGGUCCCACACCAUCAAACACGAUAUUAUUCCUACUUUUAUUUUCACUUGCUCAUUAGGCCACAAAUGAAUUCAAACAGGCAGGAGCAGUGUAUUUGUUGGGAAGCAGGGAAUUACAUCACUGGUUCUCUACUGUGUGUCUGUGUGACCAUAACCUACAUCUAAAGGAUGGAUGUAGUUUUUGGGCCUCAAAAAGGUGAAGUCAACCUAGAAGUGCCUCAAACCUGCAUUCUUUCCAAAGCCCAGCAGGGGGCGACUCCUCUGGCUGUAUAGAAGUCUGUGACUCAGUGACAGGCCUGUCCUACAUUUUAGGACAGGGCGUCUUGUCCCCUCAGUGCUCACUUCAGGGGUCAAAAAACCAAUCCUACUACAGAAAACUAGAUUUUUGACAGUUUCCAGACAAAAAGUGAGCCCACAUCCAGCACUGGUUUUGGUCUUUUCAGUGGAUUUUCCUGCAAAAGAAAAACUACAAGCGAGCUAGAGAAAACUAGAGUGAACUCAUGGACAGGGAACUGCGUAUCUCGAGCUGAAUAAUCACUGCUGAUUGUGAAAUAACAGCAGCGAGCAAACGCUCGUCUUCCUUCAUGUACAAUAAUCCAAAGUCCGACCUCAUCUUGUUGCCUUGAUGGACGUCUCCCCGCCCUCGACCCCACUCCCGUCCGUCUGUCUCUCUGCUCUGACUCUGCUGUACAGCCCUGUCUGCCUGUUUUUGUCACAGCCUUUUUUAUACGUACAUGGGGAAAAAACAACAAUAUUAAAAAACACUUAAAAAAGACAAAAAUGUAGUUAUGCAUAAUAAUUCUGCUUACAAUAACAACAGUGCUGUAAUCUAAUCAGCCACGAUGAUGACGUCAGUGUCAUCCUCAUGUGGUCAGUAACACAAUGAACCAGUAUCACAGGAUCAAGCAGGGAGGUGAAAGUGGGAGGAUGGGAGAAGAGGAGUCACACAUAUGUAUACAGGG